AGGUCAUUAGCUUAAGUGGCAAAGCUCCGGAUUCCAAAUCCGGCGAUUAGGGUUCGAGUCCUUGAUGACCUGCCA
Molecule: transfer RNA, 75 nt
Filed under: Caudoviricetes sp.
Lineage: Duplodnaviria; Heunggongvirae; Uroviricota; Caudoviricetes
Description: tRNA-Trp
Rfam family: tRNA
About the family: Transfer RNA (tRNA) molecules are approximately 80 nucleotides in length. Their secondary structure includes four short double-helical elements and three loops (D, anti-codon, and T loops).
Source: RNAcentral